CCGAUAGCGUAUAUUAAAUUAGAGUGUUUAAAGCAGGCACACGCUUGAAUACAUUAGCAUGGAAUAAUGAAAUAGGACGUUUUGAUCUUAUUUUGUUGGUUUCUAAGAUCGACGUAAUGAUUAAUAGGGAUAGUUGGGGGCAUUAGUAUUCAAUUGUCAGAGGUGAAAUUCUUGGAUUUAUUGAAGACUAACUACUGCGAAAGCAUUUGCCAAGGAUGUUUUCAUUAACCAAGAACGAAAGUUAGGGGAUCGAAGACGAUCAGAUACCGUCGUAGUCUUAACCAUAAACUAUGCCGACUAGGGAUCGGAUGAUGUUAAUUUUUUAAUGACUCAUUCGGCGCCUUACG
This 347-nucleotide ribosomal RNA is filed under the name uncultured Glomeromycotina. RNAcentral's name for it is "partial small subunit ribosomal RNA". It matches the Rfam family "Eukaryotic small subunit ribosomal RNA", at positions 748 to 1092 of the family's 1831-position model. The record is from RNAcentral. Lineage: Eukaryota; Fungi; Glomeromycota.